CUGUCAUGCACUUCGUGAACCUUGGGAGCCAGUGCCACCCUUUCCAGAACAUUCUGCCACCAUGAGGAGCUGAGGAAGCCAGAAGAAGACCCCAGUUGCCAUGAACUCCGCCGUCACUAGCCGUGAGCACUCCACUUACUCGGGCCACACCAGAUGACAGACCUCAACUCUACUUGUCCCUAUGUGGAACCUUCCUCCUCUGGUGGACCUCAGACAAGCCUUGUAACCUCAGGGAGCCUCAAUCUCCUCAUCUGUCAGAGGGAAGCAAUAAGAUGAUGAGGAGUGAUGUCGUGCUCAGCUCCCAACCUAUGGCCAAGGCAGGAGGACAGAUAGGCAGCCCGGGAGUCCCGCAGCAGCUGCCUGGCCUAUGACAUCUUGGACAUCCUGCCAUGUUAUCUCUGUAUCUUCUUGGGGAUUCAGCACUUCCUCACAGCCCUGGGGGGCCUCAUGGCGGUGCCAUUCAUCCUGGCCAAGGACCUGUGCCUGCAGCAGGACCCCCUGACACAGAGCUACCUCAUCAGCACCAUUUUCUUUGCUCCAGCAUCUGCAUGCUCCUGCAAGUGUUUUUAGGGGUCAGGGGUUCUCCAGCCGGCCCAGGUUGUUCAGAUGCUGCUGACCAUGGGCAUGUUCAUCAGUGGAUUUCUGGGUUUUCUUCUAGACAACACCAUCCCCGACUCGAAUCAUUUCUUGGUCUAGCAUCUCCAUGCUGUGGAGGAUACCCGCCCCCUUAGUAGCUGUCUUGGUGAUCAGAUUGACCGUCGAGGCACUGCAGUGCUUGUCCUCAGAACAAGAACCCAGAGCCCACCAAAGGACUGGCGUGAAAGGAGCUGUAGCACUGUAUCCGUCCCACCCUCCACUGGCACCGGAUGGCUGCCCCACAUGACAGGAAGUGUUGGUGUGACCAGACCAGCAGCCCAGGAGCCAUGGGCUAGAGUGGGGCAUUGGGACCGAAUGAGCGGUAACAUGAACAAGCUGAAACACAUUCCUGCCCAGCCUGCCAAGCUGUGGGCAGUGACACGCUCUUAUUUGCCAGACUACAAGAGAAGAUCUGUGACCCUUCUGGGGGCCCAUACCUUGGGGCUCCCCAAGCCAGAGCUGUGACAUGCUGUAACACCCUCUUGCAGCUCCACGGUUGCUGGUGUCUUUGAGUUUUCAGGCACCACGGCGUUCCCCUUGUUGGGAUGCCAGUGCCCAAGGUGGAAGCCACUUGAGGCAUACCUGGUCCAGCCACAGCCUCACAUGGUUCUGACACCUGGAGCUGCCUGCCCUUCUGCAGCAGCUGGUGCACCUGGCUCUGUGGUGUGGCUGGACCCUGUGCUCACUCACACACCUCCCACUACUCCGCGCCUGGCUCACCCAUGAUGGGAAUGGGAUCUGGGCCAGUAGUGCAAGCUGAGGACAGCCUGCUGGGCUGAGUAGGCAGAGCCAGCCCAGCAGUUGUGAGCAAAACUUGGUCAGAGGCGCCACUGGUCACAGAAGUUUCUGGCUGGUGAAGUGGCACUGAAAGAAUCCUGUGUGACUUUGCUCAUCUCAGUUACUCAUUCUGUGGCCACAUCUCAGACUAGCCUUGGGGAUUCCCAGUAGCUGUGCCUGCAAUCCUCAAUUUCAAGCAGUUGUCUGACCACCACCUCCUAUUUUUCCAGCUCACUACUUCUAGUCCCCCAAGUCUAAUAACUCUUUAAUUGGCCAGGAUCUGAAUCUACCGUCCUCCCACCUUCCGCUGGUCCCCUCUUCCCUCCUUGAGCAACCUCAAUGCCACAGUCAGUCAUAAUAACCACCUUCUCGCAUUUGCAACGCCCUUAGUCUGCUCUCUUCUUUACACUCUCUUGGCAAAACCUGAACGCUGAUGAGAAAUAACUCUUCACUCUGCACCUGCACUCGUGCAGUUGAGCAUCUCUGGGGAAAACAUACAGUUGAAUGGAGUGGUUUUAGAUUCAGACCCUGAACUUCACGGGAUCCUCAGUGCCGCCUGGCAGGCAGGAACCCUUUCCCAAGCACACUGCUCUCUCUGCUAAAACUCUUUCCACCUCUGUCUUCUUCUUCUUUUUUUUUUUUUUUUUUUGAACUUCACGGGAUCCUCAGUGCCGCCUGGCAGGAAGGAACCCUUUCCCAAGCACAAGGCUCUCUCUGCUAAAACUCU
RNAcentral lists this long non-coding RNA (2140 nucleotides) under Homo sapiens (human). RNAcentral's name for it is "HSALNT0343624". Lineage: Eukaryota; Metazoa; Chordata; Mammalia; Primates; Hominidae. The record is from RNAcentral.